AUCGCUUCUGGGCCUUUUGGCUAAGAUCAAGUGUAGUAUCUUCUUACAUCUAUUCAUUGUUUGGGCCUCAGCUGAGGCAUCCGAUGCUGUGAAAAGUUUCUCUGGACUGCCA
Molecule: small nuclear RNA, 112 nt
Filed under: Otolemur garnettii (small-eared galago)
Lineage: Eukaryota; Metazoa; Chordata; Mammalia; Primates; Galagidae
Description: U2 spliceosomal RNA
Rfam family: U2 spliceosomal RNA
About the family: U2 is a small nuclear RNA (snRNA) component of the spliceosome (involved in pre-mRNA splicing). Complementary binding between U2 snRNA (in an area lying towards the 5' end but 3' to hairpin I) and the branchpoint sequence (BPS) of the intron results the bulging out of an unpaired adenosine, on the BPS, which initiates a nucleophilic attack at the intronic 5' splice site, thus starting the first of two transesterification reactions that mediate splicing.
Source: Rfam by way of RNAcentral